GAUGAACGCUGGCGGCGUGCCUAAUACAUGCAAGUCGAGCGAACAGAUAAGGAGCUUGCUCCUUUGACGUUAGCGGCGGACGGGUGAGUAACACGUGGGUAACCUACCUAUAAGACUGGAAUGACUCCGGGAAACCGGGGCUAAUGCCGGAUAACAUUUAGAACCGCAUGGUUCUAAAGUGAAAGAUGGUUUUACUAUCACUUAUAGAUGGACCCGCGCCGUAUUAGCUAGUUGGUAAGGUAACGGCUUACCAAGGCAACGAUACGUAGCCGACCUGAGAGGGUGAUCGGCCACACUGGAACUGAGACACGGUCCAGACUCCUACGGGAGGCAGCAGUAGGGAAUCUUCCGCAAUGGGCGAAAGCCUGACGGAGCAACGCCGCGUGAGUGAUGAAGGUCUUCGGAUCGUAAAACUCUGUUAUUAGGGAAGAACAAAUGUGUAAGUAACUGUGCACGUCUUGACGGUACCUAAUCAGAAAGCCACGGCUAACUACGUG
This 497-nucleotide ribosomal RNA is filed under the name uncultured bacterium. RNAcentral's name for it is "partial 16S ribosomal RNA". It matches the Rfam family "Bacterial small subunit ribosomal RNA", at positions 28 to 507 of the family's 1533-position model. The record is from RNAcentral.